Zingiber officinale is the source of this 825-nucleotide long non-coding RNA. RefSeq lists it as uncharacterized. The record is from RefSeq and is a predicted model, not a curated record. NCBI's taxonomy places the organism in Eukaryota, Viridiplantae, Streptophyta, Magnoliopsida, Zingiberales, Zingiberaceae. The transcript has 3 exons.
UCCUUUUCCUUCAUUUUUUCGCCGUUUCCUCCCCGAAACCGCUCGCGCCUCUCCUCGCCCUAACCUCCUCUGCGCCGGUACCAGCCGCCUCCUCCUCUUCUCCGAGGUGAAGCCUUUUUCCCUCUGCCCCUUUCCAGCGCCGCCGACCCGAGUAGCACCGCCGCAAACCGAGCCCUAGCCUCUCCGAUCUCCUCUUUGCGCCAGCCGUGCCCUAGAUCCAUCACCGGCCUUCUCCACGCUGAGCUCUGCACAGAGCCACCGCUAACCUAGCACCGCCGCCUUCUUUUGCCGACUCUGCCGAUCCCUUGCCGCUGCCCUCUCUGGACCGAAGCAGCGUCGGCCACCGAGACUCCCUCUCUUCUCCUCUGGUCCGACGAGCCACCGUCGGACACCUUUGCUCUCGGCCCCAUCGCGGUGAUCAGUAGCCACUGGACGUCGACGCGCAGAGAUUACACCGUGCCCUAGUCCUCCAUCUUGCUGGCACCCGAGUACCACUGCCGGUGUUCUCCCGUGCCUGAGCUUCAUCUCCUCUUCAGAGUAAGGUUGUUCGGAUGAGGUAACGACAAGUGAUUCCAGCAGUGAUUCGGCAGUGUAAUUUAAGGUUUCCAGCAGCAAUCAACCCUUGUUGGCAGUAACAAACCUUCAGUGGAUCAGUGAUUCCUGCUGUGAAUUUAGGUUUAUCGGUUUGGGAGAUUUGCAAUUUAAUCUUGCUCCGACUGUUGAUUUACAGUAGCAACGUUUCCAACCAGAUUUGGACAAGUUGUAGAGGACCUUGACGCGAGACGAGUAUCUCGGAGUCAGAUUGGACCUUUCUAUUUUCGGAGG